This 788-nucleotide ribosomal RNA is filed under the name uncultured Lactobacillus sp. RNAcentral describes it as "bacterial SSU rRNA". It matches the Rfam family "Bacterial small subunit ribosomal RNA", at positions 28 to 776 of the family's 1533-position model. Lineage: Bacteria; Bacillati; Bacillota; Bacilli; Lactobacillales; Lactobacillaceae. The record is from RNAcentral.
GACGAACGCUGGCGGCGUGCGUAAUACAUGCAAGUCGAGCGAGCUCGCCUAGAUGAAUUUGGUGCUUGCACCAGAUGAAACUAGAUACAAGCGAGCGGCGGACGGGUGAGUAACACGUGGGUAACCUGCCCAAGAGACUGGGAUAACACCUGGAAACAGAUGCUAAUACCGGAUAACAACACUAGACGCAUGUCUAGAGUUUAAAAGAUGGUUCUGCUAUCACUCUUGGAUGGACCUGCGGUGCAUUAGCUAGUUGGUAAGGUAACGGCUUACCAAGGCAAUGAUGCAUAGCCGAGUUGAGAGACUGAUCGGCCACAUUGGGACUGAGACACGGCCCAAACUCCUACGGGAGGCAGCAGUAGGGAAUCUUCCACAAUGGACGCAAGUCUGAUGGAGCAACGCCGCGUGAGUGAAGAAGGGUUUCGGCUCGUAAAGCUCUGUUGGUAGUGAAGAAAGAUAGAGGUAGUAACUGGCCUUUAUUUGACGGUAAUUACUUAGAAAGUCACGGCUAACUACGUGCCAGCAGCCGCGGUAAUACGUAGGUGGCAAGCGUUGUCCGGAUUUAUUGGGCGUAAAGCGAGUGCAGGCGGUUCAAUAAGUCUGAUGUGAAAGCCUUCGGCUCAACCGGAGAAUUGCAUCAGAAACUGUUGAACUUGAGUGCAGAAGAGGAGAGUGGAACUCCAUGUGUAGCGGUGGAAUGCGUAGAUAUAUGGAAGAACACCAGUGGCGAAGGCGGCUCUCUGGUCUGCAACUGACGCUGAGGCUCGAAAGCAUGGGUAGCGAACAGG